Sitophilus oryzae (rice weevil) is the source of this 631-nucleotide long non-coding RNA. RefSeq lists it as uncharacterized. The transcript has 2 exons. Lineage: Eukaryota; Metazoa; Arthropoda; Insecta; Coleoptera; Curculionidae. The record is from RefSeq and is a predicted model, not a curated record.
UACGUAAAAAAACGAUUUCAGUGGAACGUAUUGAGUAAAUAAUAACUUUUGAGAACGAAAUUAAACUUAAUUUACAAGAAUUUUCCUAUAAACAAUUUUAUUAGUAAUAAAUAGAUUAAGUUUAUGAGCAGCUUAAAUUUUACGAAUGACUUCAAUCUGGCAACGCCGGUCCUGCUAGUCGUUUGCAAUCGAAGGAUCCGCACGUCCUCCCGUCGGUUGCAUCGAUUUUUUAAAUUUUCUGACGAAAAAGUGCAUUUAAUGUACACAAUUUAUGCGUAAUCUGUUACUAGUGCCCUGCUUAGCCUCCUGAAAAAGCGCGUUAUAUUAAUACUACAACACCACACACUCCUUCCCCACUCACACGAGCAUUGCUAGCUCUCUGUGUUGGUUAAUAAAAUUUCCUAAUUCAACAUUAGUGAAUUUCGUUAGCCGAUGCAGUUGGUUAACAGUGUUUUUGUCGGUGUGGAUCCCCGGCUUAAGAUGGCUCCAGAGCGCGGCGCGGCCUUCCCCAAGAGAGGAGACUUCUUGGGUCGCCCCCUAACCCUGAUGUUCGGGCAUCGAUGACCUGUGUAGCAUGCAGAGGUACCCAAGGGAGUCACCACCCUCUGAUUUACGAGCUAGGUGUUCUAAU